UUGGCCCUAAGUCAAAGCCAUCGGUUUGCUGUAGCCGUCGGUUUCAAGCAGGAGCCCAGAGGAAUUUUCUUCCCGUGGUACGCUGGCUGUUCCAGAGCAUCUCAAGGGUGCGGCCAGUUCACUUGGAAGGGACAAGG
Small nucleolar RNA from Anser brachyrhynchus (Pink-footed goose), 137 nucleotides. The record is from Ensembl. NCBI's taxonomy places the organism in Eukaryota, Metazoa, Chordata, Aves, Anseriformes, Anatidae.